GGUGAGUAAUGUCUGGGAAACUGCCUGAUGGAGGGGGAUAACUACUGGAAACGGUAGCUAAUACCGCAUAACGUCGCAAGACCAAAGAGGGGGACCUUCGGGCCUCUUGCCAUCGGAUGUGCCCAGAUGGGAUUAGCUAGUAGGUGGGGUAACGGCUCACCUAGGCGACGAUCCCUAGCUGGUCUGAGAGGAUGACCAGCCACACUGGAACUGAGACACGGUCCAGACUCCUACGGGAGGCAGCAGUGGGGAAUAUUGCACAAUGGGCGCAAGCCUGAUGCAGCCAUGCCGCGUGUAUGAAGAAGGCCUUCGGGUUGUAAAGUACUUUCAGCGGGGAGGAAGGGAGUAAAGUUAAUACCUUUGCUCAUUGACGUUACCCGCAGAAGAAGCACCGGCUAACUCCGUGCCAGCAGCCGCGGUAAUACGGAGGGUGCAAGCGUUAAUCGGAAUUACUGGGCGUAAAGCGCACGCAGGCGGUUUGU
RNAcentral lists this ribosomal RNA (482 nucleotides) under Escherichia coli. RNAcentral describes it as "bacterial SSU rRNA". It matches the Rfam family "Bacterial small subunit ribosomal RNA", at positions 105 to 583 of the family's 1533-position model. Lineage: Bacteria; Pseudomonadati; Pseudomonadota; Gammaproteobacteria; Enterobacterales; Enterobacteriaceae. The record is from RNAcentral.